CGACUCUCGGCAACGGAUAUCUCGGCUCUCGCAUCGAUGAAGAACGUAGCGAAAUGCGAUACUUGGUGUGAAUUGCAGAAUCCCGUGAACCAUCGAGUUUUUGAACGCAAGUUGCGCCCAAAGCCAUUAGGCUAAGGGCACGUCUGCCUGGGCGUCACGC
Molecule: ribosomal RNA, 160 nt
Filed under: Ilex x wandoensis
Lineage: Eukaryota; Viridiplantae; Streptophyta; Magnoliopsida; Aquifoliales; Aquifoliaceae
Description: 5.8S ribosomal RNA
Rfam family: 5.8S ribosomal RNA
About the family: 5.8S ribosomal RNA (5.8S rRNA) is a component of the large subunit of the eukaryotic ribosome.
Source: RNAcentral